This 1483-nucleotide long non-coding RNA is filed under the name Triticum aestivum (bread wheat). RNAcentral describes it as "long non-coding RNA (TAES_LNC026295)". Lineage: Eukaryota; Viridiplantae; Streptophyta; Magnoliopsida; Poales; Poaceae. The record is from RNAcentral.
GCCCCUGAACAAUGGCCAUGGCACUAGGUAAGGUUAUGCUGCUAUGCCUAUAUUGCCCGGAGUAAACAUUUGAUGGGACAAAUUGCUUGUGCUGGAUAUGGUCAGUCUGUAGCUUGGUAGUCUUGUUUUUAAUUUUGGGUAAAAUUGUUGCUUGUACUAUCAAAUAUGCACUUUAAUCUGUUAUUGGAUAAGCCAAAUAUUAUCAAGACCAGUUUCUGUAUUUGUUUCUACACAUGGACAAAAUACUCUUUUAACAAACAGUACGACUGAUUGCUGACUCACUUGGAGCCACAAAUUCAUACUGCCAGCAUACUUGAUUGAGGAUGCAAUUCUUCCUUUUUUCAUUUUUUAAGAACCAAAUGUAAUUGCUGAUAAGUACUGUUGCUAUAGUGCUAGUGCACAACACCAGGAUUUUAUAUUACAUUUUUAUUAUGAUACCGGUGCAAAUGUAAUGGCUCCGAUAACAGACAAGUGCUUGCUAGUUGUACUUGUAGAAAUAAAUGAUCCCCAGAUCCACGAGGCUUGCCAACUGACUGCCACCAAGUUUGCACCCUCAUAGGUAUCUAGUACUUUUGCUGCUUUUUAUUAGCCGGUGUUAGUUGCUAUGAAGUAUAGCUAACUGUAGCCAAAACUGGAUGCUUAGCCUCUAGUUAUAAGGAUUACCUGCUGCUGCUUUUGCUACCUCUUAUGCUCCCUGAAUGAAAGGUUAUGCUUCUAUCUAGCAUUUGGCUUCUGUUUCUCGAUUUCUUGGACAAUGUUUUUCUCUCUUUUGAGAAUCAUCAAAUUUCACAAAGGUUGCUUGUGUUGUCAAAUAUGAACUAUUUAUUAGGAUCCAUUUCUGUACUACUAAUGUCUAUUGCCUUCUCCAUGCAUCCAGCAGUGUACAGGACGUCCUCCUCCUCAAAGUGUCCAUCCAUGACGAGCUCCCUUCGCUGCAGGAGGAGCAGCAAGUCCAGCACCUGCUUGUCUCCUGUGUCCUAUAGCGCGUGGACAAGCUCACCAAUGGAUGUGUCUUCCUUCCCUCCUACCGUGGUGAGCUUAUCCCCUCUCCCCACUUUGACCCUAAAUCUGGAUGACACUUGCAAUCUGAAUACAAAUCAUGUUUUGCUUCAGUUUAGAGGUGGAUUCAGUUUCUGAGAUGAACGUCUGAGCUUGAUUAGUUGUGAUGGUUUUGUGGGUCUGAUUCUCUUGCACUAUUACACAUAAUUUAAUUAGGGCAAGCUAAUGCUAAUCCAGAUAAUAUGACGUUACACUCACAGGAGCUCUACUCUCGUGAUUUUUAUUUCCUUUGAUGUGAUCCUGCAGAAAAAGAAUGCAUCUAUGCAUAGUAAAUAUUCAGUACGAUUUUUUAAAGCCUUGGAUGUAUAACAGGCCAAAGCAAGGAGUGUGCCGGAUUGAGCAGUGUAAUGGAAUCGUAACUCCAAGCUGUUGACUGUUGUGGCAUGUCAUCUGCCUUCAAACCAAUAUUAUGUGAGCAUGCCUU